Molecule: long non-coding RNA, 549 nt
Organism: Balaenoptera ricei (Rice's whale)
Lineage: Eukaryota; Metazoa; Chordata; Mammalia; Artiodactyla; Balaenopteridae
Exons: 2
Source: RefSeq, a predicted model, not a curated record
AGAUGCCCCCUUCCUCCCCGCUUUGUUUCUGUGACAUUCCUUUCGGCUCCAACCUCAGAAAGCGGAGAGAACUUGGAGCAACUCCCGGGUUUCGGUUUUCACUGGGCUCCGUGGACUACGUUUUACAGCACUGGGGAGAAGGGUUUGUGUGUGUAGGGAGGGACAUCCGACUCUCUCCGACUUACCUGCUUAAAGCGGGGAUAUGAUUCCCCGCUUCGCUAGAAUGGAAGAAUUUGCUUUCAGAUGAUCUGCUGCAACACCACUUGGAGAACUGGACCUUACCCAUCGCUCCAGAUUUGUUUGAAAUCUGCUGUUGCAGAAGGAGGUGAUCGCCUUCUUACAAGACCUGUCCUUUGGCAAAUAAGUUGUUCUCACUUUUCCGUGUGGUCCCUCCCCUAUUCCUGUUUCCUUUUCCUUCUCCUCCUAGGUAGCACUAAGUUUAUUUAGAAGGAGCUAAUGGUGUUCUGUAACUUACUGCUCUGUUAACCAAAAAAAAAGCAAAUAUGUGUGUUCCAAAGUGACCUAAAUAAAAUGACACAUUUUUAAAAA